UACGUAGGGUGCAAGCGUUGUCCGGAAUUAUUGGGCGUAAAGGGCUCGUAGGCGGUCCAUCACGUCGGGAGUGAAAAGCUGGGGCUUAACCCCAGUCCUGCUUCCGAUACGGGUGGACUAGAGGUAGGCAGGGGAGAACGGAAUUCCUGGUGUAGCGGUGAAAUGCGCAGAUAUCAGGAAGAACACCCGUGGCGAAGGCGGCUCUCUGGGACGGUACUGACGCUGAGACGCGAAAGCGUGGGGAGCGAACAGG
This 253-nucleotide ribosomal RNA is filed under the name uncultured bacterium. RNAcentral's name for it is "partial 16S ribosomal RNA". It matches the Rfam family "Bacterial small subunit ribosomal RNA", at positions 524 to 776 of the family's 1533-position model. The record is from RNAcentral.